This 460-nucleotide ribosomal RNA is filed under the name uncultured bacterium. RNAcentral describes it as "partial 16S ribosomal RNA". It matches the Rfam family "Bacterial small subunit ribosomal RNA", at positions 338 to 795 of the family's 1533-position model. The record is from RNAcentral.
CCUACGGGUGGCAGCAGUGAGGAAUAUUGGUCAAUGGGCGCGAGCCUGAACCAGCCAAGUAGCGUGAAGGAUGACUGCCCUACGGGUUGUAAACUUCUUUUAUAAAGGAAUAAAGUGAGGCACGUGUGCCUUUUUGUAUGUACUUUAUGAAUAAGGAUCGGCUAACUCCGUGCCAGCAGCCGCGGUAAUCCGGAGGAUCCGAGCGUUAUCCGGAUUUAUUGGGUUUAAAGGGAGCGUAGAUGGGUUGUUAAGUCAGUUGUGAAAGUUUGCGGCUCAACCGUAAAAUUGCAAUUGAUACUGGCAGCCUUGAGUACAGGUGAGGUAAGUGGAAUUCGUGGUGUAGCGGUGAAAUGCGUAGAUAUCACGAAGAACUCCGGUUGCGAAGGCAGCUUACUAAACUGCCACUGACAUUGAGGCUCGAAAGUGUGGGUAUCAAACAGGAUUAGAUACCCGGGUAGUC